CCUACGGGAGGCAGCAGUGGGGAAUAUUGCACAAUGGGGGAAACCCUGAUGCAGCGACGCCGCGUGAGUGAAGAAGUAUUUCGGUAUGUAAAGCUCUAUCAGCAGGGAAGAAAUAGCGACCUUUGGUUCGCCAGAAGGUACCUGACUAAGAAGCCCCGGCUAACUACGUGCCAGCAGCGGCGGUAAUACGGAGGGGGCAAGCGUUAUCCGGAUGUACUGGGUGUAAAGGGAGCGUAGACGGCAGCACACGGCUGAAGUGAAAUGCCGGGGCUUAACCCCGGAACUGCUUUGGAAACUGUGCAGCUAGAGUGCAGGAGAGGGAAGCGGAAUUCCUAGUGUAGCGGGGGAAUGCGUAGAUAUUAGGAGGAACACCAGUGGCGAAGGCGGCUUACUGGACUGUAACUGACGUUGAGGCUCGAAAGCGUGGGGAGCAAACAGGAUUAGAUACCCUAGUAGUC
This 458-nucleotide ribosomal RNA is filed under the name uncultured bacterium. RNAcentral's name for it is "partial 16S ribosomal RNA". It matches the Rfam family "Bacterial small subunit ribosomal RNA", at positions 338 to 795 of the family's 1533-position model. The record is from RNAcentral.